GAACUGGAUGUCCGGUCAGUACAACGUGUGUCUUUUUACGUAACUCAUACAUAUGUGACUGUUCAGCUGGAUUCUCUCGGUCAUCCACAGGAGAAUGCUCGGAUAAUGAUGAAUGCCUCCGAGAACCUAAUAUAUGUGGCAACAAUUCGGUUUGCUCAAACACAGACGGCAGCUAUACAUGUCAGUGUGUUGAAGGAUACGAGCAGAGGAACGGGGAGAAUUUGGGCUGUCAAGAUAAUGAUGAAUGCCUCCGAGAACCUAAUAUAUGUGGCAACAAUUCGGUUUGCUCAAACACAGACGGCAACUAUACAUGUCAGUAUGUUAAAGGAUACGAGCAGAGGAACGGGGGGGAUUUUGGCU
This is a long non-coding RNA of Liolophura sinensis, 360 nucleotides long. RefSeq lists it as uncharacterized. The record is from RefSeq and is a predicted model, not a curated record. Lineage: Eukaryota; Metazoa; Mollusca; Polyplacophora; Chitonida; Chitonidae. The transcript has 3 exons.